This 2278-nucleotide ribosomal RNA is filed under the name Neochlamydia hartmannellae. Its description in RNAcentral is "bacterial LSU rRNA". The stretch from base 382 to 2278 matches the Rfam family "Bacterial large subunit ribosomal RNA", at positions 1 to 1870 of the family's 2925-position model. The record is from RNAcentral. Lineage: Bacteria; Pseudomonadati; Chlamydiota; Chlamydiia; Parachlamydiales; Parachlamydiaceae.
CUUCAUAUAUUGUUAUCUUGAAAGGCAAAUGAUUGAAAUAAGAAAUCAAAUAAAAGAGUUAAUCUUCAAACUUUUAGUAAUCAGCAAGAUGAAAACAAGUUUAAAAAAGCAAGAUUAAAAAAGUAAAAGUAUCAUGAAAUAGCGCGUUGUUAGAAAUAACAAUGAAACGCAUCUUACCUGUAGAAAUACAGGUGACACUGAUAAGUUCACAGACAUAAAUCGACGCUUGAAGAGUAAACUUCUUACCCAAUACUUGAAUGAAAAUUCAAGAUUGAAUGGCGAAAGUAUAAGUGGGAACCACUUAUACAAAAAGUAAAGUAAGCUCAUUAACUUAAUGACGUACUAAAACGUCAGCUUUGAGUCAAAAAAUAACAAUUUUUUGGUCAAGCUAUUAAGGGCUGCUGGUGGAUGCCUUGGUAUCAACAGGCGAUGAAGGACGCGAAACCCGCGAUAGGCAUCGGUGAGCUGGAAGAAAGCGUAGACCCGGUGGAAUCCGAAUGGGGAAACCCGGUGAGAAUAAUACCUCAUCAUCCUUAACUGAAUACAUAGGUUAAGGAGGCAAGACCUGCCGAACUGAAACAUCUUAGUAGGCAGAGGAAAAGAAAUCAAUUUAGAGAUUCCCAAAGUAGCGGCGAGCGAAAUGGGAAGAGCCCAAACCAGAGUCAUAGACUCUGGGGUUGUAGGACCAAUCAAAAGAUCAGGAAAACUUAGUCGAACACUUCUGGAAAGCUGGACGACAUAGGGUGAUAGUCCCGUAGACGAAAAGUGGACCUGACAGGAUUGGCACCUGAGUAGAGCCGGACACGUGAAACCCGGUUUGAAUCUGGGAGGACCACCUCCUAAGGCUAAAUACUCGUAGAUAACCGAUAGUGAACCAGUACCGUGAGGGAAAGGUAAAAAGAACCCCUGUUAGGGGAGUGAAAUAGAACCUGAAACCAGCAGCUUACAAACGGUCGAAGGCCUAUGCCCUUUAUAAGGGAAUGGCUGACGGCGUGCCUUUUGCAUGAUGAGCCAGCGAGUUACGCUAUAUGGCAAGGUUAAAGGACGGAACGUUCUGGAGCCGAAGUGAAAGCGAGCGUUAAAAGCGCGACAGAGUCAUAUGGCGUAGACACGAAACCACGUGAUCUAUCCAUGACCAGGUUGAAGCAAGGGUAACACCUUGUGGAGGACCGAACUAGUAACUGUUGAAAAAGUUUUGGAUGAGUUGUGGAUAGGGGUGAAAGGCCAAUCAAACGUGGAGAUAUCUUGUUCUCUUCGAAAUAACUUUAGGGUUAGCCUCGGACGCAUUCUUUCCAGGGGUAGAGCACUGAAUUCACGCGGGGACCUACCGGUCUACCAAAGGAAAUCAAACUCCGAAUACUGGAAAGCAGUCCGGGAGAUAGACAGUGGGGGCUAAGCUUCAUUGUCAAAAGGGGAACAGCCCAGAUCGCCAAAUAAGGCCCCUAAUUCUAUGCUAAGUGAGUAAGGAAGUAAAGUUUCUAAAACAGUUGGGAUGUUGGCUUAGAGGCAGCCAUCAUUUAAAGAGUGCGUAACAGCUCACCAAUCGAGAAACUUUGCGCCGAUAAUAUCCGGGACUAAAGCAUAGAGCCGAAUUUGCGGAUGCAUAUAGUGAUAUAUGCGUGGUAGGAGAGCGUAGUAUAUGCGCAGAAGAUGUACCGGAAGGAGCAUUGGAGCGUAUACUAGUGAGAAUGCAUGGCAUGAGUAAACGAUAAAGGCAGUGAAAAUCUGCCUCGCCGAAAACCCAAGGUUUCCAGGGUAAAGCUCGUCUUCCCUGGGUUAGCCGGUCCCUAAGCUGAGGCUGAAAAGCGUAAGCGAUGGAAAGCAGGUUAAAUAUUCCUGCGCCACCGAAGACUACAGUAAUGGAUUGACGAAGUAAGUAAAGCACGCGGACGAUUGGAAGAGUCCGUGACGCUACGAGGAAGGCUGAUAGGCAAAUCCGUCAGCAGGAUUCUAGAUAGCGGCCAAGGGGAGUGCAAAUGAACCGAUGGUGUAGAGCGAUGCUUCCAAGAAAUAAAUUCUAACUGUCGAAGGUGACCGUACCAAAACCGACACAGGUGGGUGGGAAGAAUAUUCUUAGGCGCGCGAGAGAACUCUCGUUAAGGAACUCGGCAAAUUAUCCCCGUAACUUCGGGAGAAGGGGAGCCAUGAGUCGUGACACAUUGACUUGUGAAGCGAAGCGUGGCCGCAGAGAAAUGGCCCAGGCGACUGUUUAACAAAAACACAGCACUAUGCAAAGACGUCUAAGUCGAAGUAUAUGGUGUGAUGCCUGCCCAAUGCC